This 650-nucleotide ribosomal RNA is filed under the name uncultured marine bacterium. RNAcentral's name for it is "bacterial SSU rRNA". It matches the Rfam family "Bacterial small subunit ribosomal RNA", at positions 97 to 777 of the family's 1533-position model. The record is from RNAcentral.
GGCGGACGGGUGAGUAACACGUAAGAAUUUGCCUUUAGGAGGGGGACAACAACUGGAAACGGCUGCUAAUACCCCAUAUGCUUUCGAGUGAAAUGGAUUUUUCCGCCUAGAGAGAAGCUUGCGGCUGAUUAGCUUGUUGGUGAGGUAAUGGCUCACCAAGGCGACGAUCAGUAUCUGGUUUGAGAGGACGAUCAGACACACUGGAACUGAGACACGGUCCAGACUCCUACGGGAGGCAGCAGUAGGGAAUUUUCCGCAAUGGGCGAAAGCCUGACGGAGCAAUCUCGCGUGAGGGAUGACGGCCUAUGGGUUGUAAACCUCUUUUUUCAGGGAGGAAUCAAUGACGUGUACCUGAAGAAUAAGCAUCGGCUAACUCCGUGCCAGCAGCCGCGGUAAGACGGAGGAUGCAAGUGUUAUCCGGAAUCACUGGGCGUAAAGCGUCUGUAGGUGGUUUAAUAAGUCAACUGUUAAAUCUUGAAGCUCAACUUCGAAAUCGCAGUCGAAACUAUUAGACUAGAGUAUAGUAGGGGUAAAGGGAAUUUCCAGUGGAGCGGUGAAAUGCGUAGAGAUUGGAAAGAACACCGAUGGCGAAGGCACUUUACUGGGCUAUUACUAACACUCAGAGACGAAAGCUAGGGUAGCAAAUGGGA